AGUGAACGCUGGCGGUAGGCUUAACACAUGCAAGUCGAACGGAAGCACAGUAAGAGCUGGACUUGACGGGGGGCGAGUGGCGGAAGGGGGGGGAAAACAUCGGAAUCUAUUUUUUGGUGGGGGGUAAAGUAGGGAAAAUAACGCAAAUACCGCAUAGCACCUAGGGGGGAAAGAGGGGGAUUUUGGGACCUUGGGCGAUUGAACGACCGAAGGGCGGAUUGGUUAGUUGGCGGGGUAAAGGCCCACCAAGGGGGCGAUCGGUAGCUGGUCUGAGAGGAUGAUCCGCCACACUGGAGCUGAGACACGGUCCAGACUCCUACGGGAGGCAGCAGUGGGGAAUAUUGGACGAUGGGCGCAAGCCUGAUCCAGCCAUACCGCGUGGGUGAAGAAGGCCUUCGGGUUGUAAAGCCCUUUUGUUGGGAAAGAAAAGCAGCAGGUUAAUACCCCGCUGUUCUGACGGUACCCAAAGAAUAAGCACCGGCUAACUUCGUG
This 492-nucleotide ribosomal RNA is filed under the name uncultured bacterium. Its description in RNAcentral is "partial 16S ribosomal RNA". It matches the Rfam family "Bacterial small subunit ribosomal RNA", at positions 30 to 507 of the family's 1533-position model. The record is from RNAcentral.